RNAcentral lists this ribosomal RNA (805 nucleotides) under uncultured bacterium. Its description in RNAcentral is "bacterial SSU rRNA". It matches the Rfam family "Bacterial small subunit ribosomal RNA", at positions 34 to 796 of the family's 1533-position model. The record is from RNAcentral.
CGCUGGCGGCGUGCCUAAUACAUGCAAGUCGAACGCUUUGUCUUUAAUUGAUCUGACGAGCUUGCUCUGAUGUGAUUUUUCUGACAAAGAGUGGCGAACAGGUGAGUAACACGUGGGUAACCUACCUCUUAGCAGGGGAUAACAUUUGGAAACAAGUGCUAAUACCGUAUAAUAUUAACAACCGCAUGGUUGUUAAUUGAAAGAUGGUUCUGCUAUCACUAAGAGAUGGACCCGCGGUGCAUUAGCUAGUUGGUAAGGUAAUGGCUUACCAAGGCGAUGAUGCGUAGCCGAGUUGAGAGACUGAUCGGCCACAAUGGGACUGAGACACGGCCCAUACUCCUACGGGAGGCAGCAGUAGGGAAUCUUCCACAAUGGGCGCAAGCCUGAUGGAGCAACGCCGCGUGUGUGAUGAAGGGUUUCGGCUCGUAAAACACUGUUAUAAGAGAAGAACGACAUUGAGAGUAACUGUUCAGUGUGUGACGGUAUCUUAUCAGAAAGGAACGGCUAAAUACGUGCCAGCAGCCGCGGUAAUACGUAUGUUCCAAGCGUUAUCCGGAUUUAUUGGGCGUAAAGCGAGCGCAGACGGUUAUUUAAGUCUGAAGUGAAAGCCCUCAGCUCAACUGAGGAAGGGCUUUGGAAACUGGAUAACUUGAGUGCAGUAGAGGAAAGUGGAUCUCCAUGUGUAGCGGUGAAAUGCGUAGAUAUAUGGAAGAACACCGGUGGCGAAAGCGGCUUUCUGGACUGUAACUGACGUUGAGGCUCGAAAGUGUGGGGUAGCAAACAGGAUUAGAUACCCUGGUAGUCC